RNAcentral lists this ribosomal RNA (459 nucleotides) under uncultured bacterium. Its description in RNAcentral is "partial 16S ribosomal RNA". It matches the Rfam family "Bacterial small subunit ribosomal RNA", at positions 338 to 795 of the family's 1533-position model. The record is from RNAcentral.
CCUACGGGAGGCAGCAGUGAGGAAUAUUGGUCAAUGGCCGCAGGGCUGAACCAGCCAAGUCGCGUGAGGGAUGACGGUCCCAUGGAUUGUAAACCUCUUUUGUCAGGGAGCAAAGGGCGCCACGUGUGGCGCUUUGCGAGUACCUGAAGAACAAGCAUCGGCUAACUCCGUGCCAGCAGCCGCGGUAAUACGGAGGAUGCGAGCGUUAUCCGGAUUUAUUGGGUUUAAAGGGUGCGCAGGCGGAAUGUCAAGUCAGCGGUAAAAUUUCGGGGCUCAACCCCGUCGUGCCGUUGAAACUGGCGUUCUUGAGUGAGCGAGAAGUAUGCGGAAUGCGUGGUGUAGCGGUGAAAUGCAUAGAUAUCACGCAGAACUCCGAUUGCGAAGGCAGCAUACCGGCGCUCAACUGACGCUCAUGCACGAAAGCGUGGGUAUCGAACAGGAUUAGAUACCCCAGUAGUC